RNAcentral lists this ribosomal RNA (497 nucleotides) under uncultured Sphingobacteriales bacterium. RNAcentral describes it as "bacterial SSU rRNA". It matches the Rfam family "Bacterial small subunit ribosomal RNA", at positions 885 to 1382 of the family's 1533-position model. Lineage: Bacteria; Pseudomonadati; Bacteroidota; Sphingobacteriia; Sphingobacteriales. The record is from RNAcentral.
GCCAGCCCGCUCAGAAACUCAAAGGAAUUGACGGGGGCCCGCACAAGCGGUGGAGCAUGUGGUUUAAUUCGAUGAUACGCGAGGAACCUUACCUGGGCUCAAAUGUAUGUUGACGUAUUCUGAAAGGGAUACUUCUUCGGACAAUAUACAAGGUGCUGCAUGGUUGUCGUCAGCUCGUGCCGUGAGGUGUCGGGUUAAGUCCCAUAACGAGCGCAACCCCUAUCAUUAGUUGCCAUCAGGUCAAGCUGGGGACUCUAAAGGAACUGCCUACGCAAGUAGUGAGGAAGGCGGGGAUGACGUCAAGUCAUCAUGGCCCUUACGGCCUGGGCUACACACGUGCUACAAUGGUCGGUACAAAGGGUUGCCAAGCCGCGAGGUGGAGCUAAUCCCAUAAAACCGAUCGUAAUCCGGAUCGCAGUCUGCAACUCGACUGCGUGAAGUCGGAAUCGCUAGUAAUCGUGAAUCAGAAUGUCACGGUGAAUACGUUCCCGGGCCUU